Molecule: ribosomal RNA, 414 nt
Filed under: uncultured microorganism
Description: bacterial SSU rRNA
Rfam family: Archaeal small subunit ribosomal RNA
Source: RNAcentral
CAGCCGCCGCGGUAAUACCGGCGGCCCGAGUGGCGGUCACUAUUAUUGGGCUUAAAGCGUCCGUAGCCGGGUUGGGAAGUCCUCCGGGAAAUCUGGCCGCUUAACGGUCAGAAUGCCGGAGGAUACUCCCAGCCUAGGGAGCGGGAGAGGCCGAGGGUAUUCCCGGAGUAGGGGUGAAAUCCUAUAAUCCCGGGAGGACCGCCUGUGGCGAAGGCGCUCGGCUGGAACGCGUCCGACGGUGAGGGACGAAGGCCAGGGGAGCAAACCGGAUUAGAUACCCGGGUAGUCCUGGCUGUAAACGAUGCGGACUUUGUGUCGGACAAGCUAUGAGCUUGUCCGGUGCCGGAGGGAAACCGUUAAGUCCGCCGCCUGGGGAGUACGGCCGCAAGGCUGAAACUUAAAGGAAUUGGCGGG